GUAGGUGGCAAGCGUUGUCCGGAAUUAUUGGGCGUAAAGCGCGCGCAGGCGGGGUCCUUUAAGUCUGGUGUGAAAGCCCACGGGCUCAACCGUGGAGGGUCAUUGGAAACUGGGGGACUUGAGUACAGAAGAGGAAAGCGGAACUCCAAGUGUAGCGGUGAAAUGCGUAGAGAUUUGGAGGAACACCAGUGGCGAAGGCGGCUUUCUGGUCUGUAACUGACGCUGAGGCGCGAAAGCGUGGAGAGCAAACAGGAUUAGAUACCCUGGUAGUCCACGCCGUAAACGAUGAGUGCUAAGUGUUAGGGGGUUUCCGCCCCUUAGUGCUGCAGCUAACGCAUUAAGCACUCCGCCUGGGGAGUACGGCCGCAAAGGCUG
RNAcentral lists this ribosomal RNA (375 nucleotides) under uncultured organism. RNAcentral's name for it is "partial 16S ribosomal RNA". It matches the Rfam family "Bacterial small subunit ribosomal RNA", at positions 527 to 896 of the family's 1533-position model. The record is from RNAcentral.